This is a long non-coding RNA of Rhinolophus ferrumequinum (greater horseshoe bat), 3265 nucleotides long. RefSeq lists it as uncharacterized. The transcript is spliced from 3 exons. NCBI's taxonomy places the organism in Eukaryota, Metazoa, Chordata, Mammalia, Chiroptera, Rhinolophidae. The record is from RefSeq and is a predicted model, not a curated record.
CUGUGGUGCUUACAACAACACCACCCAUGGAUUGCUGAUAUUUUACUAGUAGGUAACUUUAAAAACUACCUGGAGUUUCCAUUGUUGUGUGCUUCGUUUCAGUGGUGGAUGUUAAAUGCCCUAACACUUUGGGCAGAAGAGCUUGGUGACUUGUUCACACUAAUGGGUGCCCACUGUGUGGAGGAGUUGGCCUAUAUAUGGAGCCCAGCUCUGUCAAUUUCUACCUCAAGGGUUGUCGUGAGAAACAGGACCAUUUCUACAUCUCAUGUCCGUAGGACAGGGCCUGGCAAAGAGGCAGACUUGUUAAAGUGUUUGCUCUGUAUCAUUGCCGGAGCACAUAUUCAGCACAGUGGGUGCAAGACCCAAUUUUCAAAGAAAAAAGGAGGAUCUGUGAGCAUGAGAGCAAUUGAGGUCGGACAGAUGGUGGUCUCGGUAGCUGUGAAAAUCUUCCCAGGGGACAGAAAUGCCCUGCAGAAGACAUAGCUUCUGAAGAAAGACAUUGCUUUCCAUGUGCCCUUAGUCGCCAAACCCAGCGUAGCCUUAUCCUCUAAUGUGUCCCCUGUCCAGUACGGUUUUGGAAUGUAGCAUAGAAUGCCUCCCCACACCCUGUACAUUUGCAAUGACAUUGCAUAUUGCAGGCUAUCAGAAACCCCACUGCUGAAAACCACGAAACUCUGCUAUCCUAGUGCUUCCCAAACUUGUUCCACUGGCUGACAGAAUCUGCCAUCCUCCCUCUGCACCACCAGCACCACUUCAUAGUUCGUAAAAACCCCUUGGAAACCACCAUUCUCUUGCAUGGAUUUCAUACCAUACUGUGUAGCCCCUGAGGGGUGUGAGGGAGGAUCUCUGGUUGGUGUUGCCCUGGGUAGAUGGGGGUUCCAAGGAGGGAGGACCCAGCUCCCCAGCAGGGAACAGUCAGAGACCUCUGCUUUCAUCUUAGUUAGGCCAUUGACUUUCCACACGAGGUUACGGUGUUGAACAACGCUGGAUACCACUGUCCAGAGACUGACCUGCCCUGGCCUGAGCCUGACCAUCAGACAAUCACACCAUGCAUCUCCCUGAGAAGUGCUGUCACGUGACUCAUCUCAACUCGCAUGGGCAAUGAGUUGAACUGUGUUUCCAAUAAAAGGAUCCAAGGAAGACCACGCUUUCUGGUCUGACACCUGGACAGCAGCCUGUCAGGAUAGGCAACCGCCAAUGUGCUUUUGGGCACUGGACCAGUGCAGCCUUACCUUCUUUCCUCUUUCCUUUGAUUUCAUCAUCUGCUCCUUUUUAUUUUAUUUAUUGUGUCAAUUUUAUCUAUUAUUGGAAGUCAUCUUAAGCUAUUUUUAGGACAUGGAAGACUAUAGUAUAUACAUAAUUAAGCCCAGAGCACUCAGUGAGGUGCGCCUUCUCCAAAGGUAAAUGCAAACAUUUGAUGUGUAUUUUCAGUUCUAAAUGACCCCAGCUGACUUUCUGCACCACUUGGGUUCAUCAGAUGACAGCCAAGUUUGCUUUACACUUAGAGUUGUGUAGACAGGUAUGCCUUGCCAGGCUGAGUCUUUCCAUUUCACUUGCUAUACUUCAAAGGUGAGCUCAGGUAUAUGUACGAGUAUAAUACAUUGUCCAGUGCCAACACAAACCCACUUUUUCCAAAUUGCAGAAAAGAACAAUUGAAUCAAAUUUAGGUAUUUUUGUUUUUCUUGUUUUAAAAGCUGUCGUAGUUUCAGUGGGCCCUGAAGACCAUGGUUUGGCCCAGACCUUCACCAGCACUGCCACAUGGGUGUGGCCCACACACUAGAGUUCCACUUGGCCUGUACAUGCCCAAGGGUCGUGCUUCAGAAUUGGGAUGUUUGGAACAUUCUCCAGGAACAUCCAUAAAAUCCCUUUAGUUUGAAAACCAAAAAUCAAAACCUGUAAAAAGAAAACAUUUUUCUUUUGGGAAGGUAUUUCCCUUUCUUCCUCUUCAGUAUACUGAUGGGGUCUCUGGAAACACAGCUGGUGUCAUGUGUGUUGAAGCUCAGAGCCGAUUGGCCAUGGUCUCUCACAUGACUACAGUACGUGACAGAAUAUGAGUGAACACAGGAUGAGCCAUCAGCCAGUGAGGGGGACUGAGUAUUUUCAUGCUGGAAUCUUUUCUGUUUGAUGUUUCAGGCAGGGGACUUUGGUUAGAAGGUAGAUGCGUGACCACGUAGUAUUGGUCUGACAGUGCUGGGCAGUGCUUGGGUUUGAACAAAAUAGCAAGCUUGCCUUUGGUGACGAAGGAGAAAGAGCAGAGACCAGAGAUGUGGCAUUCUGAAUUGUGGGUGCUCGUGAUGCCAUGAGCACGGUGCCUGGCUUGCAGAGGUGGCCUCCAGCCAACCUGUGCAUGGAGGGAUCCCUCUUCAGCCUUAAGGAGGACCAGCCAGAUGACCUCAGCGUGCAUCCCCACACUGCCCACCCUCUCCUCUCCAAGGCGACCUGGAAGUCUUGGUAACUCUUCUCCAGUCUCUUCCGGCUUCCAGCGUUCUAUAAAUGCUCUCAGAAAGCGUCCAAGGUAAAAAUUUUCAUGGCACAAUCCUUUCGCUCCAUUACCUCCUGGGCACCCUCAUCCGCGUGCAUCCGUCCAGCUCUGGUGCGUUUCCGCUUGUGUGCAUGAAGGGCUCCCCGAGACCACACGCCCUGGUUGGACUUCCUGCAAGAGAGGGGCCGAGCAGGCUGCGUGUGGGCACCCUGACCUCCUCCACCCAUGCCACAGCCUCCCAGACCUCUUCACCACCUGCCACCAACAUGUCCGUGUCACAUGGCCAUGUCAUCACAAGCUCAUGGGGGAUUGGAGCAGGGCAGAUGGUAUGGUGUGGGGAAGGGCCACAUUUACUAACAAGAUAUUUGUGUUGUUUCUAGAGGCCCUCCCAUCCCCAGGAUGGCACUCAGGCCGUAAGGUGCUGUGGUGGCAGAAGAUGGAGGCGCAGAAGGGCAGGACCCCCGGGAAACAGGUUGUGUGUGUUUUGGACAUGAGGAAACUGAGGACCAGAACGUUUGUGCAAACUGUCUGAGACGACAGCGAGGAAGUGGCAAAACUGAGAACUGAUCCACAGUCUGUGAUCAUGUAGGCGCACUGAAUGGCACUUUCUGCAGGACCUGCGGCCCGCCCCCCUCUGCCCUCCCCUCUUCGGCCUGCUGUCCCCAAAUCUGGACUGUCCAGCUCUUCGCCUGGCCCCACACCUCAGUGGGGACCUUCGCCUGCUCUGCUCCCUCCCAGGUCUCCUCCUCCCGGCACAUGUCAGGGUGCCUUCCCAUCUGUCUA